This 466-nucleotide small RNA is filed under the name Histoplasma capsulatum. Its description in RNAcentral is "hypothetical RNA". The record is from RNAcentral. RNAcentral also lists the same sequence under 1 other name. Lineage: Eukaryota; Fungi; Ascomycota; Eurotiomycetes; Onygenales; Ajellomycetaceae.
CAGUCUAACCUAGGGACCGACAUAUCCUCCUUCGCAGCUGUGUUGGGUUGACUCUCCUGCAUCCUUCCCCCCCCCACAGCAAUCAACACUUAGAUCCCGUCAACGGUGAAUUCUAUCUUUCCUUCAGCUGUACUGUCCCUGGACAAGCCAGAGACGGAAACACGUGAAAGUGCUUCGAGAUUUGCGUCCACAAAAUCCAGCUACAAUUCUACCAUUUGUGACGAGGAAUUCAAGUACAUGUGUAAUGGAACAAGACGAGAUAUUCAUGUGUAUAUGUACUGUACAUUACAUGACAGCAACGGUGUUUGAUUUUUGGGUACAUCCGCAGGCUUCACAGCUAUUUCUUGAUAUGCCCUGUAAUUCUAUGAAUAGCAGGUGGAUGUGAUGGGGGGAUAGCGAAUAUGGUUUCUCGUUCGGCAUUGUCCCGUUGUUUGAUGAUACACUAGGGAUCAAGGGAUAAAAGGAA